This 497-nucleotide ribosomal RNA is filed under the name uncultured bacterium. RNAcentral's name for it is "partial 16S ribosomal RNA". It matches the Rfam family "Bacterial small subunit ribosomal RNA", at positions 28 to 507 of the family's 1533-position model. The record is from RNAcentral.
GAUGAACGCUGGCGGCGUGCCUAAUACAUGCAAGUCGAGCGAACAGACGAGGAGCUUGCUCCUCUGACGUUAGCGGCGGACGGGUGAGUAACACGUGGAUAACCUACCUAUAAGACUGGGAUAACUUCGGGAAACCGGAGCUAAUACCGGAUAAUAUAUUGAACCGCAUGGUUCAAUAGUGAAAGACGGUUUUGCUGUCACUUAUAGAUGGAUCCGCGCCGCAUUAGCUAGUUGGUAAGGUAGCGGCUUACCAAGGCAACGAUGCGUAGCCGACCUGAGAGGGUGAUCGGCCACACUGGAACUGAGACACGGUCCAGACUCCUACGGGAGGCAGCAGUAGGGAAUCUUCCGCAAUGGGCGAAAGCCUGACGGAGCAACGCCGCGUGAGUGAUGAAGGUCUUCGGAUCGUAAAACUCUGUUAUUAGGGGAGAACAAAUGUGUAAGUAACUAUGCACGUCUUGACGGUACCUAAUCAGAAAGCCACGGCUAACUACGUG